This 411-nucleotide ribosomal RNA is filed under the name uncultured bacterium. RNAcentral describes it as "bacterial SSU rRNA". It matches the Rfam family "Bacterial small subunit ribosomal RNA", at positions 29 to 483 of the family's 1533-position model. The record is from RNAcentral.
AAUGAACGCUGGCGGCAGGCCUAACACAUGCAAGUCGAACGGGUAUCUUCGGGUACUAGUGGCGGACGGGUGAGUAACGCGUGGGAACGUGCCCUUUGGUUCGGAAUAGCCUCGGGAAACUGGGAGUAAUACCGGAUGUGCCCUUCGGGGGAAAGACUUAUCGCCAAAGGAUCGGCCCGCGUUGGAUUAGGUAGUUGGUGGGGUAAUGGCCUACCAAGCCGACGAUCCAUAGCUGGUUUGAGAGGAUGAUCAGCCACACUGGGACUGAGACACGGCCCAGACUCCUACGGGAGGCAGCAGUGGGGAAUCUUAGACAAUGGGGGAAACCCUGAUCUAGCCAUGCCGCGUGAUCGAUGAAGGCCUUAGGGUUGUAAAGAUCUUUCAGAUGGGAAGAUAAUGACUGUACCAUCG